This 442-nucleotide ribosomal RNA is filed under the name uncultured bacterium. RNAcentral describes it as "bacterial SSU rRNA". It matches the Rfam family "Bacterial small subunit ribosomal RNA", at positions 958 to 1399 of the family's 1533-position model. The record is from RNAcentral.
AACGCGAAGAACCUUACCUGGGCUCGAAAUGCAGUGGACCGGGGUAGAAAUAUCCCUUCCCCUUAAAAGGCUGCUGCAUAGGUGCUGCAUGGCUGUCGUCAGCUCGUGUCGUGAGAUGUUGGGUUAAGUCCCGCAACGAGCGCAACCCUCAUCUUCAGUUGCCACCGGGUUAUGCCGGGCACUCUGAAGAAACUGCCGGUGACAAGCCGGAGGAAGGCGGGGAUGACGUCAAGUCCUCAUGGCCCUUAUGGGCUGGGCUACACACGUGCUACAAUGGCGGUGACAGAGGGAGGCGCGGCGGCGACGCCUAGCCAAUCUCAAAAAGCCGUCUCAGUUCGGAUUGCUCUCUGCAACUCGAGAGCAUGAAGUCGGAAUCGCUAGUAAUCGUGGAUCAGCACGCCACGGUGAAUACGUUCCCGGGCCUUGUACACACCGACGCGUA